This 439-nucleotide ribosomal RNA is filed under the name uncultured bacterium. RNAcentral describes it as "bacterial SSU rRNA". It matches the Rfam family "Bacterial small subunit ribosomal RNA", at positions 340 to 772 of the family's 1533-position model. The record is from RNAcentral.
UACGGGAGGCAGCAGUGGGGAAUAUUGCACAAUGGGCGCAAGCCUGAUGCAGCCAUGCCGCGUGUAUGAAGAAGGCCUUCGGGUUGUAAAGUACUUUCAGUCGUGAGGAAGGUGUUAAGGUUAAUAACCUUAGCAAUUGACGUUAGCGACAGAAGAAGCACCGGCUAACUCCGUGCCAGCAGCCGCGGUAAUACGGAGGGUGCGAGCGUUAAUCGGAAUUACUGGGCGUAAAGGGCACGCAGGCGGUUAAUUAAGUUGGAUGUGAAAUCCCCGGGCUUAACCUGGGAAUGGCAUUCAAGACUGGUUAGCUAGAGUCUUGUAGAGGGGGUAGAAUUCCAUGUGUAGCGGUGAAAUGCGUAGAGAUGUGGAGGAAAUACCGGUGGCGAAGGCGGCCCCUGGACAAAGACUGACGCUCAUGUGCGAAAGCGUGGGGAGCAAA